UAUGUUGUUGUAAGCGCGCACGUAUAAGA
RNAcentral lists this small RNA (29 nucleotides) under Bombyx mori (domestic silkworm). RNAcentral's name for it is "ovarian small RNA-24057". The record is from RNAcentral. Lineage: Eukaryota; Metazoa; Arthropoda; Insecta; Lepidoptera; Bombycidae.